UGGCUCAGGACGAACGCUGGCGGCAGGCCUAACACAUGCAAGUCGAGCGGCAGCGGGAAAGUAGCUUGCUACUUUUGCCGGCGAGCGGCGGACGGGUGAGUAAUGCCUGGGGAUCUGCCCAGUCGAGGGGGAUAACUACUGGAAACGGUAGCUAAUACCGCAUACGCCCUACGGGGGAAAGCAGGGGACCUUCGGGCCUUGCGCGAUUGGAUGAACCCAGGUGGGAUUAGCUAGUUGGUGAGGUAAUGGCUCACCAAGGCGACGAUCCCUAGCUGGUCUGAAAGGAUGAUCUGCCACACUGGAACUGAGAC
RNAcentral lists this ribosomal RNA (311 nucleotides) under Aeromonas veronii. RNAcentral's name for it is "bacterial SSU rRNA". It matches the Rfam family "Bacterial small subunit ribosomal RNA", at positions 20 to 325 of the family's 1533-position model. Lineage: Bacteria; Pseudomonadati; Pseudomonadota; Gammaproteobacteria; Aeromonadales; Aeromonadaceae. The record is from RNAcentral.